CAGUCGCCGCGGGAAUACGUAGGUGGCAAGCGUUGUCCGGAAUUAUUGGGCGUAAAGGGCUCGCAGGCGGUUUCUUAAGUCUGAUGUGAAAGCCCCCGGCUCAACCGGGGAGGGUCAUUGGAAACUGGGAAACUUGAGUGCAGAAGAGGAGAGUGGAAUUCUACGUGUAGCGGUGAAAUGCGUAGAGAUGUGGAGGAACACCAGUGGCGAAGGCGACUCUCUGGUCUGUAGCUGACGCUGAGGAGCGAAAGCGUGGGGAGCGAACAGGAUUAGAGACCCCAGUAGUCCCUGUCUCUUAUAC
This 301-nucleotide ribosomal RNA is filed under the name uncultured bacterium. RNAcentral's name for it is "partial 16S ribosomal RNA". It matches the Rfam family "Bacterial small subunit ribosomal RNA", at positions 509 to 807 of the family's 1533-position model. The record is from RNAcentral.